RNAcentral lists this ribosomal RNA (253 nucleotides) under uncultured bacterium. RNAcentral describes it as "partial 16S ribosomal RNA". It matches the Rfam family "Bacterial small subunit ribosomal RNA", at positions 524 to 776 of the family's 1533-position model. The record is from RNAcentral.
UACGUAGGGUGCGAGCGUUGUCCGGAAUUACUGGGCGUAAAGAGCUCGUAGGUGGUUUGUCGCGUUGUUCGUGAAAACUCACAGCUCAACUGUGGGCGUGCGGGCGAUACGGGCAGCCUGGAGUACUGCAGGGGAGACUGGAAUUCCUGGUGUAGCGGUGGAAUGCGCAGAUAUCAGGAGGAACACCCGUGGCGAAGGCGGCUCUCUGGGACGGUACUGACGCUGAGACGCGAAAGCGUGGGGAGCGAACAGG